This 253-nucleotide ribosomal RNA is filed under the name uncultured bacterium. Its description in RNAcentral is "partial small subunit ribosomal RNA". It matches the Rfam family "Bacterial small subunit ribosomal RNA", at positions 26 to 285 of the family's 1533-position model. The record is from RNAcentral.
AGGACGAACGCUGGCGGCGUGCUUAACACAUGCAAGUCGAGCGGUAAGGCCUUUCGGGGUACUCGAGCGGCGAACGGGUGAGUAACACGUGAGUAAUCUGCCUUCAGCUCUGGGAUAGCUCCGGGAAACCGGGAUUAAUACCGGAUAUGACCACUUCGGACAUCUGUUGUGGUGGAAAGUUUUUCGGCUGGAGAUGAGCUCGCGGCCUAUCAGCUUGUUGGUGGGUAAAGGCCUACCAAGGCGACGACGGGUA